GCCGCCGUAGUAUAGCCCGGAAUAGUAUGCGGGCCUGUCGAGCCCGUGACCCGGGUUCAAAUCCCGGCGGCGGCG
RNAcentral lists this transfer RNA (75 nucleotides) under Staphylothermus hellenicus DSM 12710. Its description in RNAcentral is "tRNA-Asp (GTC) (tRNA-Asp-GTC-1-1)". It matches the Rfam family "tRNA". From Rfam's summary of the family: Transfer RNA (tRNA) molecules are approximately 80 nucleotides in length. Their secondary structure includes four short double-helical elements and three loops (D, anti-codon, and T loops). Lineage: Archaea; Thermoproteati; Thermoproteota; Thermoprotei; Desulfurococcales; Desulfurococcaceae. The record is from RNAcentral.